This 11004-nucleotide long non-coding RNA is filed under the name Elaeis guineensis (African oil palm). Its description in RNAcentral is "long non-coding RNA (EGUI_LNC007061)". The stretch from base 9493 to 9599 matches the Rfam family "Plant small nucleolar RNA R71". Lineage: Eukaryota; Viridiplantae; Streptophyta; Magnoliopsida; Arecales; Arecaceae. The record is from RNAcentral.
AUCAAGAACCCUAAGUUCAGUCCUGUUUAUCCUAUUAUCAAUUUUCACCUUUCAAUCCAUCAACCGAUAUAUAAAAUCAAUGCCAAGUGGGUACCAACACAUAGCAUGCAUUAAGAACACAAGAAAUUGAAUCAAAGUAAAUAAUCCCCAAUUUUAUUGAAUAAAAAUCAGAUCCAAUCCAUAGUUAUUGAAAGUGCUACAUCCCUAACUCCAGAAUAAAAAAAACUACUCACUCAUGGUCAACUUAACAACCAAGUUCAUGAAAUAAAGAAAAUAAGAGAUAAGAAGAAGUAGAAUUGAAAAGCCCAGAAGAGAGUUGCAGCUUUGAUCUUGUGGAACUUCGGCUGGAAUCUCUCUCUUGUGCAGAAAAGUCUUCUUCUCAGGCUUGGUUCUCUAGCGUGUAUUUCUUGAUUUCGGCCCCCCCCCCUCUUGCUAGUUUGGAGACUAAAACUAUUUAUUCUCUUCAGGGGAUCCUAGUUUUAGAGUCUCCAUAGCUUAGGAAACUCUUUCCUCCCGAAAAAAUAGAGGUUAAAACGUGUCUUUUAAGUGUAGAUCUUGAAAUCGACAUGGAGCGUGUCAUUUCACAAGGGGUAGGCCAUGUACCUUUCGGCAACUUUUGCUCUCUUUGCUGCUGACACAACCCGGGACGUGUCAACUGGUCUUGCGGUUGGGAUGAGUAACACGGCCUCUAACAUGGCCAUGUCAAGGGCCGUGUCAGUCUGCUUCUUCUUGAAAUUGACUUUCAUGCCUUGGUUUGUGCAAUAGCCUGUCCGAAUGCCUCCAAAUCUUUGAACUGACGCUUAACUCAUUCACAAUCAAAACUUCCUAGGCCACUUUAUUCGCCUAAUCAAAAUAAAAAUUAAGUAAUUAAACUUAAAUAAAACAAGAAAGAAUAAAGGAAUUAAAAACAUAUAAAAACUAACAAAGCAUGAACAAAACACAUAUAAAUGACACCCUAAACUAUAUAAAAUAUGAUUACAUCAAAUACCCCCAAACUCAAACAUUUGCUUGUCCCCAAGCAAAUUAAAACCAUAAAAACAAUUGGAGGACCUGUCUUUGGAAUUAUGAGAGCUGCAAAUCCAAACUUUCAAAAUCACCUUAAGAAAACCAACAAACCAACCACCCUUCAAAGUAACAAGAAACCAAACACUCACCCAAGCAUCACUACCCAACAAAAAUCAGCUCACCAACCCAAACAUGCAUUCACCACCCAAUUACACAAGCCCAUUCUUACCCAAAUAAUACCCAUGUACAAUCAACAGUCACCAUGUCUCUAAUAUAAAUUGAUAGAAGGGAUAAUAAGUAUGGUGAUAUAUCCCAAUCCCAUAGGCAGACCUCCUAACCCUAUCUCCACUAAUGUAGCAUACACUGUCAAAAGAUUAAAAGGUCUUUCUCAUAAGGUUGUAAUGGGGCUAUCAAAGAAAAAAAAAUUAACAAAAAUAUGAGAGGAAUUAGUCUAUAAAAGAUCAAGAUGCACCAGAAAUUUGUCUCUUUUUCCAUUCUCUUUUUUUUCUUUUUCUUUUUCUUUUUUUUUUUUUCUAUUGGUAGUAGUAAGUAAAUUUACAAAUUUUGACUUCAAAUUGCUAGCAUACUUCUUGGAGCUUAUGGAAGGACNNNNNNNNNNNNNNNNNNNNUUUCUUCUCUCUCUCUCUCUCUCUCUCUCUCUCUCUCUCUCUCUUUCUUCUUUUUUUUUUGAAUCAUCUCUCACUCUUAUACACAAUCCCUUCUCAUAUAGGGUAAGGUACUGUGUUUGGUCUCAGGGCUAGGUGAUAUGUGCGGGUAAGCAAAGAAAAUAAGGUAAAAAUGUGGGCUCAAACUGGCUACAAGGGAUAAAUUUCAACAUGGGUGGCUAAGGCUAUAAUGAGCUAAAAACAAUUAAUGCUUAAAUUAUCUCUUCAUCCAGUGCAUGCUAGGAUUUCGCCUCGAUAGCUUUAAAAGACCUGUUCUAGGACCGGUGAGACGUCAAAUAACCACUUUCUUGUACACAUGCACUCUUCAAGCAAUCAUGAAGUCAGUGCAACUAGCUAGCAACUGCACAUCUAGACCAACAAGACAAUCUAAGUCAAGUAGUAGUGGCAAGAACAAGUGCUCAACCUCUUGCACCUAUCCAGAUAAUCAACCUGUCAGUUCUCUAAAGGCAAUCUUAAUCAUUCUUCAAAGCAACACUUAUGCAUCCAAAGAAAGGGUGAAAUUGCAUUAAUGAUUUUUUUUUUGAAGAAAAGGAAAAGGACGAAGAACACAAAAUGCAAAUACAAAUGAAUCCUAAAAUCAAAAAUGCAGCUCAAUACCCCCUAACUCAAUCUUGACAUUGUCCUCAAUGUCAAUCUCAACAUACUCAAGUCACAAGCAUAGGAUACAUGCCAAACAUCACCAACAUUCAUCACAUACUAGAUAGAGAACCUGUAAAGGAUCAUCUAGGCAAAUGUCAUUCAUAUUUUCCAAAACAAAAUCUGAACACAAAAAGCAUAUGGAAAAUACGAUAUCAAUAUAAGUCAUAGUAUGCUAGAUACAGACAUAAUAUCCAAAACAAAGCUUUAUGGGUAUAAUCAAAAUAUAAAGUCUAACAUAACCAACAAGACAUAAGACUGCACUAGAAAUCCUGAGAUGGUGAAGAUGGUGGUCUAUCAGCAAGCAAGGUGUCGAGCUUGGCAUGCGCAUCCUGGAGACUCUUCUUAGUGAAAUCCUCCAAGGUCUGGAAUCUCGUCUCCAUGCUCUCCAGGUACGCUAUGACCUGAUCCAAAGUGGCUCCAGACUGAGAUGGUGGAACUGGUGGUGUCGCUGUGGGCAAAGAUGAUUCGGUGUCCAUCUGCUGCUGCUGUGCCUCACCGCCCUGCGCCUGGUCAGCUUGUGCUGCUUGGCCGUCUCUAGGAAUGAUAUUCCCAUGAGCAUCCACGAGAAAGUACUCCCCAUUCACUUUCUUGCAGAUGUUCAUGGACACAAGUGUAUCUGAAUCAAUCCUAGCUGCGCCUAGAAUCGGGCGGAUCCUGACAAGAACAGGGACAAAUCCAAAAGAUAGAGCUAUAGCUGUGAUCAAUCCUUCUACAACAAUCUGGCCCGUAGGCUGUCCUGACAUCCUCUGCAAGUGGCUAGCAAGCCAAAACCCAGUACUAGCUCUCUUACCAGAAACCAUGCACCACAAAAAGAAUAACUCAGUCUGAUUAACUACUCCUGUGCUUUCUCCCCUGCCACAGAUGGUGUUAGCUAUCACCCUAUGGAUGUACCUAAGGGCAGGGCUAGUCAAAUGGGUUGAUUUCGACUUGCUCGGAUGAUACUCACCACCUGUAGGUGCUAUCUGCCUCCAGAAUUGCAUCUCACUAUACUCAUAAACAUCUCUGGGGAUCAUCUGAUAUCCUGUACUGUCAAACCCAAAUACCCCAUUUAAUUGCUCAAUGCUCAUUUCUCUUUCUUCCCCCAUCAUUCUAAAAGUAAUGCUGCUCCUUUCCUGCCGAGACCACUGCCUCCAUACUGACCUAAUACUACCUAGGAACUGUAGUGUUAGGUCUCUAUAGGCAGGACGGCUAAUGGUGACAAAUCUAGUCCAUCCUAUGUUCUCUAACAAAGUAGUAAUCUCAGCUCUGAAUCCCAACUGAUCUAAGGUUUCCUCAUCAAUGUACUUAGUGCAAACUAUAGGUCUCUUAGAGAGUGCGGUACACUUUACCCGGUGUUCCUUAUUCCGAUAAGGCCAAGCAAGCUCCGGUGGUGGCGUUUGUGGGCGUGGCUCAUGUGGUGGAGCCUGGGAGCCCCUUGGGUUGGAAGCCUGCUGCCUCUCCUGAGUGCAUGGGCGCUGUGGAGAAGGGGAAGCACCCUCUUUGCCACGGGAGGAAGACCCUCUAUGAAUGACUUUCUUCUUGGGUCCCAUUGUAGUGUGAGAGAGAGAGAGAGAGCUAGGGUUUGGGUUUGAGUGUUUGGGGUGAGGGGAAAGGUGAGAAAAUGAGUGGGAAAGUGAUUUGGGGAUGAAAUUUGUUGAGAAAUUGGAAUGGAUGUUGUUGGGAGGUUGAGUCGCACAGGUAGGCGACCGAAAUGGCGGGGAGAAUUUGAGGAAUGUGUUUUUCGAAUGCUGGAACUGAAGGGGCAAUAUUUAAAUAUCUAGAGUGACACGGCCUGUGUCAAUUGACAUGGGGUGGGCUGUGCAUUUUGCAUCAAUUUUUUUCAUGAAAAUGUUUUCAUUAUUUCCAGAUUUACACGGCCUGUGUCAAAUGACACGGCCCGUGCUGUGAGCUGCAAAAUAUGAAGUUUUUGUGUAUUUUAGGCUUGCAACAAGUUUAGCUCGGUUCUGUGGUCCUAAAAUCACUUAUGAGACAAAAUUAAGCACAAAAUCAACACCGGACUCAUUUCAAAUGCAAAAUUUAAAUCAAUCCACUUAUCCUAAUGUAAAUCUCCAAUUCUCAACCAAUUCACUCCCAACAAAUUUAAAAGCAAAACAAAGCAACAUCCAAAUCACUCAAAAAUCAAGACCAAUGCUCAUAAUUCAACAAUAAAACUAAGAAGAGGUAAAGAGUCAAAGGGCUUCCCUUUUUGAAGCAUGCCCUCCUCCCAUUGUCUAGUUGCCUUGUCAUUUCCUCUCCCAAAGUCUACAAAUCAAAACAACCUGCAAGAAAUUGACAAAUAUCAAAAUUGAAUUUUCGGGGCAUAAAAUUAGAAAAAUAAAACAAGUAAACAAGAAAAAUAAACUUGGGUUGCCUCCCAAGAAGUGCUUGUUUAUAGUCAUUAGCUCGACUUUUCAGGAUCUACUGUGAAUAUGGCGGGUCGGUGAAGGAGUAGUUAACUCCUUUCUUGAUGAGCUCUCCAAUGAUAUAUGACUUCAAAUGCUGCCCAUUCAUUUUGAAUGCACCUGAGAUCUCACUCCACACCUCAACCGCACCAUGAGGAAAGGCCAUUAUUACUUUGAAGGGUUCCGACCAUCUUGACCUUAAUUUGCCAGGAAAUAGCUUCAAUCUUGAAUUGAAUAGCAGCACCAUGUCACCUUCUUUAAACUCUCUUCCUGAUAUGCUUGUCAUGCCAAUGCUUUAUUCUUUCUUUAUAUAUGCGGGCAUUCUCAUAUGCAUCCAGUCUGAUCUCCUCAAGCUCAUCAAGUUGCAACAAUCUCUUCUCACCAGCAGCCUUCAUGUCGAAGUUCAAUGUCCUUAUUGCCCAAUAUGCCUUAUGCUCCAAUUCUAUAGGCAAAUGGCAUGAUUUUUCAUAAACCAAUCUGAAUGGUGUAUUACCUAUGGGAGUUUUGUAGGCGGUGCGAUACGCCCAUAGGGUGUCAUCAAGCUUCAAGAACCAGUCCUUUCUUGAGCUGUUCACCGUCUUCUCCAAAAUACUCUUCAGCUUCGUAUUAGAUAUUUCCACCUGGCCAUUAGUUUGGGGAUGGUAAGGGGUUGCAAUUUUAUGCUUCACCCCAUACCUUUGCAAGAGUCUCUCAAAUUGGUGGUUAUAGAAGUGAGUACCGCCAUCACUUAUGAUAGCUCUAGGCGUGCCAAACCUUGUGAAAAUGAAUUUCUUGAGGAAUUUCACCACUACUCUAGCAAAAAAAUCUACCCACUUUGACACAUAACCCACUCCAACCAGGAUAUACUUGCUUCCGUAGGAGGAUGGAAACAGACCCAUAAAGUCAAUGCCCCACACAUCAAAUAAUUAAACCCCAAGAAUACCAUGUAAGGGCAUCUCAUCUCUUCUAGAAAUAUUGUCAGUCCUUUGGUAUCUAUCACAAGCUAGAACAAAAUUCCUCACGUCUUUAAAUGAGUGGCCAGAAAAAAUCUGAUUGAAGCACUUUUUCUGUAGUCUUUGAGGUGCUUAGAUGUCCACCGUAAGCUGAAGAGUGACAGUGAGUCAAGACACUCCACUUCCUCCUCUGGUAGGCAUCUCCUUACCAGCCCGUCAUUGCACCUUUUAAACAGCAGUGGCUCUUCCCGACUGUAAUCUUUGACAUCAAGUAAGAAUCGCUUCUUUUGCUGAGAGGUCAAAUUUGGGGGGAGAAUUCCACAGGCUAGAUAAUCGACAUAAUCAGCAUACCAUGGUAGUGCAGUGCUGGCAAUAGACAGGAGCUGCUUAUUAGGGAAGAAAUCAUCAAUUGGUACUUCACCAUCCAAGUCAUCCCUAUGUUCCUGUCUAAGCCUAGAGAGGUGAUCAGCUACCAUAUUUUCUGUUCCCUUCUUAUCCCGGAUCUCCAAAUCAAACUCUUGCAGGAGAAGCACCCAUCUAAUAAGUCUUGGCUUGGCAUCUUUCUUAUUCAACAGAUAUCUUAUAGCAGCAUGGUCUGUGAACACUAUGACUUUUGAACCCACCAAAUAUGAUCUGAACCGGUCCACAGCAAACACCACAGCCAAAAACUCCUCAGUAGUUGCAUAAUUAACUUGGACGUCAUCCAAGGUUCUGCUGGCAUAAUAAAUUGCAUAAACUUUCUUCUCCUUCCUUUGGCCUAGUACAACUUCCACAGCAAAGUCACUCGCAUCACACAUGAUCUCAAAUGGCAAUGUCCAGUCCGGUGGCUGCAUUAUGGGUGCCGAUAUGAGCACCUCCUUGAUCCUGCAAAAAGCAUCAAGACAAUCCUUACUAAAUUUAAAGGGCAUAUCUUUAUUAAGAAGGUUAGUUAAAGGUUUAGCAAUUUUAGAAAAAUUCUUAAUAAACCACCUGUAGAACCCAGCAUAUCCUAAAAAGCUACGAACUCCCUUUACUGAGGUCGGUGGUGGCAUCUUCUUGAUUACUUCAACUUUUGCUUUAUCCAUCUCGAUGCCUCUUUCAAACACCAUAUGGCCCAGUACAAUCCCCUCACGAACCAUGAAAUGGCAUUUCUCCCAAUUCAAAACAAGGUUGGAUUCCUCACAUCUUUGCAACACUUUAGAAAGGUUAGUCAAACAAUCAUCAAAAGUAGUUCCAUAAACAGAGAAAUCAUCCAUAAAAAUUUUCAUAAUAUUUUCAAUAAAAUCAGAAAAAAUAGCCAUCAUGCAAUGCUGAAAAGUAGCAGGGGCAUUACAAAAACCAGAAGGCAUCCUUCUAUAUGCAAAGUACCAUAGGGGCAUGUGAAAGUGGUCAUUUCUUGAUCACUGGGGUGAAUGGGGAUAUGAAAGAACCCCGAAUACCCAUCUAAAUAGCAAAAGUAUGAAUGUUUAGCUAGCCUUUCAAGCAUCUGGUCAAUAAAAAGCAAUGGAAAAUGAUCCUUUCAGUUGGCACUAUUCAAUUUCCUAUAGUCAAUGCAUAUUCUCCACCUAGUGAUUGCUCUAGUUGGAAUUAAUUCAUUAUUUUCAUUCUUAACAACAGCCAUACCACCGUUUUUAAGAACUACAUGCACUGGACUCACCCAACUACUAUCAAAGAUAGGAUAUAUUACUCCUGCAUCUAGUAGUUUGAAAACUUCCUUCUUAACAACUUUCAUGUUAGGGUUGAGUCUCCUUUGAUGUUCUAUGGUGGGUUUAAAGUCAUCUUCUAUUAAUAUCCUAUGCAUGCAAAUAGAAGGACUAAUUCCUUUGAUAUCAUCUAUUGUGUACCCUAUAAUCCUCCUAUGCAUUCUAAGUUCUCUCAACGGUUUAUCAACCUCAAUCUCACUCAAGCUAGCACUAAUAAUCACAGGAUAUGUAGAAUUGGGCCCAAGAAAUGCAUACCUUAGCUUUGGUGGAAGGGGUUUGAGUUUCUACCUUUGGAGCUUUUUCCUCAUCAAGUGGUAGUGGUUCAGUAGAUACCUAUUUCAGCUCCUGUAUUUUCAACACUUGUGAAUGUGGGAUAGGUGGACUUGCCUCCAGAAGCUGCGCAUAUGCUAUUCCUUCCGCAUUUUCAUCCUCAAUCGUGGCACUAUGCACCAAGCAGGAUUCAAGAGGAUCUUCAGGAUAUUGGUCUAUGAACUCUUUCACCAGCUCAUCAAUGAUGUCCACUCUCAAGCAAACAUCCACUUCAUUCGGCCUUUUCAUUGCUUGAAACAAGUUAAACUCCACUUCUUCAUCCCCCACUUCAAAGUCAAUCUCUCAUUCUUCACAUCAAUUAUCGCCUCCAUCGUAGCUAAGAAUGGUCUUUCCAAGAUUAUGGGAAUCUGGACAUCCUCCAUUUCUAGAACCACAAAAUCUAUAGGAACAUAAAACUUGCCAACCUUCAGUGGAACAUUUUCCAAUAUACAAUUGGGUACUUAAUGGACCUAUCCGCUAGUUGCAAAGAGAUAGUGGUUGGCUUCAAUUCUUCCAUUUUCAGUUUCUCACAAAUAGAAAGUGGCAUGAGACUAACACUGGCACCAAGAUCACAGAGAGCUUUAUCAAUUGACAUGUUUCCAGUUAAGCAAGGAAUAGAGAAGCUACCUGGAUCCUUUAGCUUAGGAGGAAGCUUGUUUUGCAGAAUUGCACUACAUUCCUCAGUGAGAGCUAUAGUCUCAUAUUCUUCGAUUUUUCUCUUAUUUGAUAGAAUCUCCUUGAGAAAUUUAGCAUAUGAAGGCAUUUGGAAGAGAGCCUCAGUAAAUGGAAUGUUGAUGUUAAGUGUCUCCAGGACUUCCAAAAAUUUUUCGAAUUGCUUGUCCAACUUCGCCUUUUGAAAUCUCUGAGGGAAAGGCAAAGGGAGCAUGUAUGGUUUUGGAAGUUCUUUCUUUGGCUCCUCUUUCUCAACACCCUUUUCUAAAUUUGUUUUCUUCUCGACUGCUGGGGUCUCAUUCUCUGAUCCAACUUUCUCUUCAUCAACCCUUUCACCUCUCUCACUUUUAUUCUCUACUACCCACCCAUUCCUCAAUGUAAUAGCCUGGCAGUGUUCUCUCGGGUUCAGUUUUGGUUGGCUAGGCAAUGCACCUAAAGCUUUACUGGAGGGGGAACUGGCCUGCUGAGCAAUCUGGUUUUCAAGCAUCUUCUUAUGGGUAGCUAUCUGAUCAACCUUUGAAGUAAGUUGCCUGAUCACCUCAUCAUUUUGUUUUUGGUUGGCUAAGAGACUCUCCAUUAAGACCUUCUGGUUAGAUUUUUGCUCUUGAGGUUGGGGUGGAUAUUGGGGAGGUGGGUUAGGAUUCCUAUGUUGAAAGCCAGGUGGUGGUCUAGUGUUCUGCUGAGGGUUAUGGCUCUGAUUUUGCUGGUUGGACCAAGAGGAGUUGGGGUGGUUUCUCCAGCUGGGAUUAUAGGUGUUGGAGCAAGGGUUACCUACAGGCCUGCGAUUAGAAUUGUUGUUGACAUAUGCCAUUUGCUCAACAAAGGGUUCCUGUGCAUAAGCUUCAUAAUCAACCCCUUGAUGAUUUCCUCCAUCCAUAUCACUGAUUGGGUUAUCUGUCCCCACUGCACUCAUACUCAGCUUGUCCAACUUCUUUGUUAAUGCAUCGAACUUAGCAUUAAUCAUGCUCAAUGCAUCAACCUUAAAGACUCCAGUCGGUCUCCUUGCAUUAGUUCUUUCAUUGGACUACUGGUAGUUAUUUGAUGCCAUAUCCUCAAGUAAAGCAAGAGCCUCAUCAACUGUCUUACCCAUGAGAGCACCUCCAACAGCUGCAUGCCUGCAUCUAUAGUGAUACUCACAGACGGAGUCAACCCAUUGUAGAAAUUUUGCGCGAUUAACCAAUCCGGAAGGCCAUGAUGUGGGCAUUGUCUCUGGGGAUCCUUGUAUCUCUCCCAGGCUUCAUAUAAAGACUCAUCAUCCCUUUGGCAAAAGAUAGCAAGAUCAUUGCGAAGCUUGGCAGUCUUUCCUAAAGGGAAGUACUUUGAUAGAAAGGCUUGUGAGAGCUGGUUCCAUGUUGUGAAUGAAUUUGGAGGCAUAGCACUCAGCCAAUCCUUUGCUUUGCCCCUCAGGGAGAAUGAAAAUAGACUCAAGCGAAUAGCAUCAUUUGACACUCCAUUUAUCUUGAACGUGUCACAGAUCUCCAAGAAUCCCAUUAAGUGUGCAUGAGGAUCUUCAGUUGGUAGACCCCCAAACUGGUUCUACUGUACCCAUUGGACCAAUGCUGGUUUCAGUUCAAAAUUGUUUGCAGCUACUGUUGGCCUUGUAACACUUGGUCUGAAUUCCUAAAAAUUGGGCGUUGCAUAGUCCCUGAGCACCCUGUUGUCAGCAUUCACAAUCUGGUUGUCUUGAGCCAUGAUUGCUUGUUGAGCUCCUUGCCUUCUUCUUUCUGCUCUAAUAGCUCUCAAGGUUCUUUCAAUUUCGGGAUCGCAAUCAACUAGCUUUUCCUCACUCUUAGCUCUUCUCAUAAACUAGCUGUAAAUCCUGAAAACAAAACAAAACAAAAUAAACAAAUAAAAUAUGAGAAAUUAAGAAAAUAGAGGUGUCUAAAUUAAUCAAACUAUCAAUCGUUUGAUAUCAAAGCACCGAGUCCCCGGCAAUGGCGCCAAAAAUUUGUUCGCAUCCCGCAAGUGCACGAAUCGUACCAAGUAGUAUGGAAAGAUAUCGUUCCCUCAGGGACCGUGUUGAAUACCAAACUAUGACAAUCACGAUUAUCUAGACGAUCGAAUUUGAGCUAGAAAUUAAAAGUAGAUUAAAUAUUGUUGGAAUUAAAUCUAAACAAGUUAACUAAAUUCAAACACUAAGGACUAAAGGCAUUCCAGAGUUAGAGGUUCAGACAUACAAUUAACUAUGAAUGCAAUCCUAUUUAUUCAAUCAACGGGAAAUUAUUACUUUGAAGGAGAUUAACCCUAAAUAGUCUAAAGCCCUCUCUCAAGGCACCAUAGACGUGUUUUAAUUAAAUUAAGACCUACUCUUAUGGCGUUAAGUCAAUUAAAACCCAUUAAGUUCUUUGGUUAACCUAUUGAUUCCACAUAGAAUUCAAGCCUAUCUCUAGAUCAAGAACCCUAAGUUCAAAAUCCUGUUUAUCCUAUAUCAAUUUUCACCUUUCAGUCCAUCAACUGAUAUAUAAAAUCAAUGCGAAGUGGUUACCAACACAUAGCAUGCAUUAAGAACACAAGAAAUUGAAUCAAAGUAAAUAAUCCCCUAUUUUAUUGAAUAAAAAUCAGAUCCAAUCUAUAGUUAUCGAAAGUGCUAGAUCCCUAACUCCAGAAUAAAAAACACUACUCACUCAUGGUCAACUUAACAACCAAGUUCAUAAAAUAAAGAAAACAAGAGAUAAGAAGAAGUAGAAUUGAAAAGCCC